Molecule: non-coding RNA, 4983 nt
Organism: Styela clava
Lineage: Eukaryota; Metazoa; Chordata; Ascidiacea; Stolidobranchia; Styelidae
Source: RefSeq, a predicted model, not a curated record
AACAAUUUAUGCACACAUAAACAAAUAUCAAAAAAAAAAAUAGUUUUCGGUAUAUGACUGGGGGGCAACGAUACGACCUUUGGGGGUCAUCAGAGUCAGUUGCCACCCAAUUAUAUUAAAUAAGCAUAAGAAUAACAGGUUCGUGUCAAUAUUUCAAUGUCUCUCACGAUUUAUACUAUGUACAAUAUUUACAUGAAUUUACUAUUCUUAAUUAUGGAAGCAUUCUUUUAAAUAAUAGGAUUUUGCACAAAUUGAAAUUAUAUUGCAAAAUAUAAAAUGAUCAAAACGAAAAAAAGUGGGAAAGCAGGUCAGACAAGCUACCCCUUAUUUGGGUAACUUUGUUUUAUUGAAUGAAUUUAAGUUAAACAUAACAAGUGGGAUUUUGAACAAGCGAAUAUGGGUAGAGUUCUAUUCUACACACACUAGUGCAAUGUAAUCAGAUGCAUGGGUUGAGUCAUCAAAACAAAUUAGAAUUUGGUUUAAACAACAAAAAAAUGCAUUUCAAAAAUGCAAUACAUUGUAAACUUUGUAUAAACAAACAAUCGAUAUUAAAAUAUCAAGAAAGUUAAUGCAAAAACAAAACAGUUGACUUAAUGUAGGAAUAAAUAAGAUUCAAUAUUUCAUAACACUAUGUGAAAUGAUUCAGAACACUUUAAAAAUAAACAUCAAAUAUUAGUGUUUGUACAUAGAAAUAGAACAAUUCAUAAAUCAAGGCCAUUUAUCCAGAUUUUUACACUAAUUGGUAGUAAAUGGAUUAAUUUAUCAUAGAUUAGCCAGGGAUCUCAAUAGGAAAGUAUUGAGAUAUCGUUGGUAGGUCAAAGGUUGAUGAAAAAGAGCUAAUAACUUAGCAUAUUAACUUCAUAAGAUAGAAAAAUUGAGUGGAACAUUUUAUUACACAAUUAGGGACUCUUUUACAUGAGAGCAUUUAAUAAUAGCAAUCAAAAAAUAAAUCAAAUAAAGAGCUCAUGUCAACAAGGAAAUAUCAUGAAUGCAUAAAAGCUUGGCAUAUUAAAUUUAUAAUAUAGAAAAAAAGAAUGUAACAUUUUGUAAUAUGAUUUGGGACACUUCAAAUGUGAUAUUAAUAGUAGUUAUCAAAUAUAGAGAUAAAGAGCACAUGUUAGCGAGGAAGUAACUUGAAGGUAGAUAUAAGGUUGGCAUAACUCUAUAAAAUGGAAAAUGAGAAAUGUAACAUUUAUAACUUGAUUUCGAAUACUUUGAAUAUGAACAUUAAAUAAUAGUAAUAGAGUAUAAGAAAAAAUCAAAUAAAGAGCUCAUGUCAACAAGGAAAUAUCAUGAAUGCAAUACAAGAUUGGCUCAUUAACUUUAUGAUAUAGAAAAUAAAGAAUGGAACAUGAUUUGGGUCACUAUAAAUGAAAUAUUACGGUAGUUAUCAAAUAUAUAAAUAAAAAUAAAGAGCACACGUUGCCGAACAAGUAACAUGUAUGUAAUAUAAGCUUGGCUUAACUUUAUAAAUGGAGAAUGAAGAAUGUAACCAUUUUUUAAACACAAUUUUAGACAAUUUGGAAAUUAACAAUUAAUAAUAGUAAUCUAAUAUAAAAAAAAAAAAAUAGCUCAUUUUGCCAAGGUAUCAAUAUCCUGAAUGAAAUUUUGGUUUUAGAGUUUUAAAAUAGAACUCGCAAUAUGUACAAUUUGUAGAUAUAGUGAAGGAUUGCAAACAUAAAAAAACAGUAGUCUUCAAAAUCACAAUGAGAUAUCAACAACAAUUCACUGCGAAGACACAAGUCAGAUAUAUUGGAAUUGCAAGUGUAUAUGAACAACAACAAUUCACUGUGAAUACACAAGUCAGGCAUAUUGGAAUUGCAAGUGUAUAUGGAUUAAAGGAUACAGUGUAUAUUUACCCCUGACUAGGCUAGGACCAAAUCGACAAACAUCAAACUUCAGCAAGGAAUUUAAGUUACAUCAAAGAUUGUUUUAUAUAUAACUGCCUCAGAAUCAACUCUGUUCCAACACAUGAUCCAACUUUUAUUAGAUAAUUUCAUUUAAAAUCGAUAAAGCAAAUACCAUUAGGAGCAAACAUAAUUGGGUCAUUUAUAUAUAGAAAUAUAGAAAGUAAAUUAACAUGUAAUAAGAAGGAAUGAAACCCAAUAUUUAAUAACAGUAUAUUAAGAAUACUUUGAAAAUGUAGAUCAGCACUGAUUUGCAAUAGAAUGCAUAGCCAAGGAACUUUUGGGCUUGCAUAUUAAGAAAGUGACAUGAAUAUUAAUUACACAUUGCACAUAAAUAAUUCAAUGAAGCAUGAUACUAGUUCACAGUAUAAUUUGAUGUAAAACUUGGAAGUGUUGGAUUCAGAGUCAUCACUACUGAGUUGCAGAAGAUUGUAAGAUUGCAUAUGCAUGGAAUAGAAGUAUAACGGUGGGAUGGAAAUUGAAAUAUUUUGCAUAGGAAAUCAGUGACAUGUGUAUAGAUUACAUAUUUCUACAUGUAUAGAGAACACCACUGAAUACUAUUGUGAAGUACAAUACCAAAUCAUAUGUUAAUUUAAUCAAAUGAACCGAAUGAACUCUUCAAUUUGAAAAAUCCACAUGACAAUAGACAGACAAAAGGAUAGAAAUGAUCUCUUGACUGAACUCAUCUGUACAAAUAAGUAAAUAUUUAUUUAGCUAUGGAAACCUUAUCAAUUACAAUCAAUAUUUGGAUAUGAUGUGUUUCAUAAGUUCAUCUUUGAAUUUUUUAUACGAAUAUGUCUUGAAAAUAGCGGGUAUUUCAUUCCAAAUAUUGGGGCCAGCAAUGUUUAUCAAAUUUUGGGUAAAUUUGAAAUUGGUUCAAGAAAUGAAGAAUGCUCCUUUAGAUGCCGAACGAGUGUUAAAUGGAUGGACAACAUACUUUUUCAUGGUAGAAUUAUAUAUGCACAGCAAUUGACAGCAUUAUAGAAACAGUAAUAAAUAAUAAUUGUGAACAAAUUUUGAUGUUUCACCAACAUAUAAUAUAUAUGAAAAAUGGUUUAUGUGCAUAUUGAUACAAAUACUGAAUUACAUAACAUAGCGAAAGUUGUAAUUAAAGAUGAUAUUUUAGUUAGGUAAGAUAGUAGAAUCAAAAUGUGACAAGGAAAUCUGGUCACAGGUCGUUAUCUAUAAUAAGGAUUGGUUCACCCUGGUAGAUUAUGAGCUGAUAUUCAAUUAUGAUAUACCUACAACAAGAUAAAAUGGAUUUCAUACUUGAAUGACAGUAUUACAAUUUGGACAUGAACCUGGCACAAAUAUGGGCUUUUGCAGUAUAAUGCCUUGGUUGCAAUCUUAAAAGCAUAGCUAUAUUCAAAAACAGUCAGUAAGAUGAACAUUGCAAUAACAGUAUGUAUAAAUUAAAAUAAGCAUGCAAAUAUUGGCAAUUAAUGAAGGCUAUUACCAUAUGCUACUAGAGUGAUUUCAAAAUUUUGGGGAAAAUCAAAAUUUAUAUACAGCUGCAUAGGGUAAAAUGCUACUAUGGCAUUGAUUCAAAAUUUUUGGGAAAAUCAAAAAUUAUAUACAGCUGUAUUGGGUAUGCAUUGCAGGCACAUUAAUUUAAAAGUCGUUGGACAGUCUAUAAAUGGAUAUGAACAUGGCACAAAUAUAGGCAUAGUUUGAUACUGGUAAAUGGUUCAUAAGUUGGCAUCAAUUUGCAGGUACUACUAAUUAUAGUAGUAGAUUACAAUACAAUAGGCAGAAAACCAGAUAUAACUAGACUCCUUGACACUUAUCUACUGGAGUCAUCAGUAUCCAGUAAAGUAGAGCUGGCACCUUCAUUAAUUAAUAUUUGGAUAUAAUGUGCUUCAUGUACUCAAAUUUAAAUUUUUUAUACGAAAGUGCCUUAAGAUUAUCAGGAAUAUUAUUCCAGAUUCUGGGUCCAGUAAUUUUGAUUGAAUUUUGAGCGAAUUUUGAAUUUGUGCGAGAAAUAAAGAAUGCACCUUUUGUUGCAGACCGAGUUCCAUAUGAAUGCACAGAACUACAGUCUGUGAAAUACGAAUUGAAUGCUACUGGAAGCAUGUCAUGCCUAAAUUGGAACAUUAACUUUGCAACCUCAUAAAUAAAAACAUCAUUUAAUUUAAGAAGAUUCAUGCGCCUGUAAACAGGACUCAUACUAUGCAGCAAAGGAGUACUUGUCAUAAUGCGAAGAGCUCGAUUUUGUAAAACUGAUAAAGCGUGGAGUCUACUUUUAUCUGCAGAGCCCCAUGCCACAAUUCCAUACUGAAGUUUAACUUUUCUGGACAAAUCAGUGACACUAGAAGAUAUGGACGUUGUGCUCGUGUCAUCAGCAAAAAGUUUGACAAUUGCUGGAGUACUGUUUACCACAUCAUUUAUGUAUACCAGGAACAGGGUCGGGCCAAGAACCGAGCCCUGUGGCACGCCUACAUGAACGCGUUCGCGAGUGACAGAGGAAUCCUCCAUAAACAUGGACAACUUGUUUGGCGAACCCAUGAAUUGGAGGUGUUCGUUGUCAUUCACAGUAUGGAAAGCAGAAGACAAAUUUAGUCCAAUUUGAGAAAAAUAACUGUUAAACAUAUGAGAAAUUUUUUCACUGUCACGCACAAUCUCUCCAGAGAGUUGAUUGACUAGCUUUUGCGGAAUGCCUUUAUUUGAUUUUGAGUUUAAUAAAGAAUUGAUAGUACUCCAAGUCUUUUUUGGGUUGUUUUUAUUAUUUUCGAAACAGUUAGCGAAAUAUGUCUCUUUAGCUUUUUGCUUCAGAUGACACAAUUUGUUGGCAUAUGUUUUGUAGUAAAGUUUUUGUUCCAUGGAGCCCUUAAUAAAAUGAGAUUUAUGUAACUUAUCCCUGAUUUUAGUUGAGCGCAGAAUGCCAUUUGUUAUCCAAGGUUUCCUUUCUAGUCGGCGUUCUUUUCUAGUUAACUUUCUUAGUGGUGCAUGUUUAUCACAUACAUUUAAAAUUUUGGUAAUAAAAUUGCUAAAGUAUGAAUUGAAAUUUUCAGCAUUAAUACUAAUAGGGUCAUGCGAGUAAAAAAGUUCAUGGGCAUCUUGAAUGAAUUUAGCUGAA